RNAcentral lists this ribosomal RNA (433 nucleotides) under uncultured bacterium. RNAcentral describes it as "partial 16S ribosomal RNA". It matches the Rfam family "Bacterial small subunit ribosomal RNA", at positions 29 to 507 of the family's 1533-position model. The record is from RNAcentral.
AGCGAACGCUGGCGGCAGGUUUAACACAUGCAAGUCGAGCGGGCCCUUCGGGGUCAGCGGCGGACGGGUGAGUAACGCGUGGGAACGUGCCUUCUGGUCUGGAAUAACCCUGGGAAACUAGGGCUAAUACCGGAUACGCCCUUUUGGGGAAAGGUUUACUGCCGGAAGAUCGGCCCGCGUCUGAUUAGCUAGUUGGUGGGGUAACGGCCUACCAAGGCGACGAUCAGUAGCUGGUCUGAGAGGAUGAUCAGCCACACUGGGACUGAGACACGGCCCAGACUCCUACGGGAGGCAGCAGUGGGGAAUAUUGGACAAUGGGCGCAAGCCUGAUCCAGCCAUGCCGCGUGAGUGAUGAAGGCCUUAGGGUUGUAAAGCUCUUUUAUCCGGGACGAUAAUGACGGUACCGGAGGAAUAAGCCCCGGCUAACUUCGUG